UUAGGGAGCUACCAUUUGAUUUUUAUGGGGGGGGGGGCUAGGAUGAAAAAUUUUGUCCUGCUUUUUUUUUAGUUGUAAUCUCUGUCCUGCCUUUUUAGUUUUUACUCUAUUCGGUCCUGCCUUUUUUUUUUACUAGUUUAUCCUGAUUUUUUUUACACAAAUUGUCAUCCUGCCUUUUUUUUUAACAAGUUUCUCAUCCUGCCUUUUUUUUUUUACUCAAAACUCCUGUCCUGCUAUUUUUU
RNAcentral lists this long non-coding RNA (242 nucleotides) under Mytilus galloprovincialis (Mediterranean mussel). The record is from RNAcentral. Lineage: Eukaryota; Metazoa; Mollusca; Bivalvia; Mytilida; Mytilidae.